This 553-nucleotide ribosomal RNA is filed under the name Amesomyces atrobrunneus. Its description in RNAcentral is "eukaryotic LSU rRNA". The stretch from base 180 to 333 matches the Rfam family "5.8S ribosomal RNA". The record is from RNAcentral. Lineage: Eukaryota; Fungi; Ascomycota; Sordariomycetes; Sordariales; Chaetomiaceae.
UUUAGAUUGGAAAAAACCCCUAAACCAUUGUGAACGUUACCUAUACCCCCUGCUUCGGCGGGCGGCCCCGGGGUUAAAAAAAAGGGGCGCCCCUGGGCCCCACCGCGGGCGCCCGCCGGAGGUCACCAAACUCUUGAUAAUUUAUGGCCUCUCUGAGUCUUCUGUACUGAAUAAGUCAAAACUUUCAACAACGGAUCUCUUGGUUCUGGCAUCGAUGAAGAACGCAGCGAAAUGCGAUAAGUAAUGUGAAUUGCAGAAUUCAGUGAAUCAUCGAAUCUUUGAACGCACAUUGCGCCCGCCAGCAUUCUGGCGGGCAUGCCUGUUCGAGCGUCAUUUCAACCAUCAAGCCCCCGGGCUUGUGUUGGGGACCUGCGGCUGCCGCAGGCCCUGAAAAGCAGUGGCGGGCUCGCUGUCGCACCGAGCGUAGUAGCAUACAUCUCGCUCUGGUCGCGCCGCGGGUUCCGGCCGUUAAACCACCUUUUAACCCAAGGUUUGACCUCGGAUCAGGUAGGAAAGACCCCGCUGAACUUAAGCAUAUCAAUAAGCGGAGGAA